UGCGCCGAAAAUGUAACGGGGCUCAAACAUAGUACCGAAGCUAGGGAAUUAUAGAGUUAAUCUAUAAUUGGUAGGAGAGCGUUCUUUAAGCCGUUGAAGGUUCGCCGUAAGGCGGGCUGGAGGUAUAAGAAGUGAGGAUGCAGGCAUGAGUAACGAGAAAACGGGUGAGAAACCCGUUCGCCGCAAACCCAAGGUUUCCUAGGUAAAGCUAAUCUGCCUAGGGUUAGUCGACCCCUAAGAUGAGGCUGAAAAGCGUAGUCGAUGGGAAACAGGUAAAUAUUCCUGUACUAUGAUAUGUUUCGAUGGAAUGACACAGAUUGUUUACGUACGCGUUAGAUUGGUAGAUAACGUCAAACAGUUUAGACUUGUGAUGAGUAAAAUGCUUGUUGCUUUAAGGUUGAGGCUGGAUAGUGACUGGGCUUUCGGGUUCAGGAAGUUGCGUGAGCUAGGCUGUCGAGAAAUAAUUUCUAAGGUUAGGCAUGUCAUAAUCGUACCGCAAACCGACACAGUUGGGUGA
RNAcentral lists this ribosomal RNA (517 nucleotides) under Brachyspira murdochii. Its description in RNAcentral is "bacterial LSU rRNA". It matches the Rfam family "Bacterial large subunit ribosomal RNA", at positions 1160 to 1670 of the family's 2925-position model. Lineage: Bacteria; Pseudomonadati; Spirochaetota; Spirochaetia; Brachyspirales; Brachyspiraceae. The record is from RNAcentral.